RNAcentral lists this ribosomal RNA (441 nucleotides) under Arabivitrina jansseni. RNAcentral's name for it is "partial large subunit ribosomal RNA". It matches the Rfam family "Bacterial large subunit ribosomal RNA", at positions 1817 to 2601 of the family's 2925-position model. Lineage: Eukaryota; Metazoa; Mollusca; Gastropoda; Stylommatophora; Vitrinidae. The record is from RNAcentral.
AGCAUUAUGAUAAUAUAUAAAGUGAAACCUGCCCGGUGAAAUUUUUAACGGCCGCAGUACCUUGACUGUGCUAAGGUAGCAUAAUAAAUUGACUUUUAAUUGAAGCCUUGUAUGAAAGGAAUAAUGGAUAAGCGCUGUCUCUAUUUAAUUUAUUUAAAGUUACUUAAAAGGUGAAAAUACCUUUUUAAAUUUAAUAGACGAGAAGACCCUAGGAGUUUAUUUUAUUUUUUUUUAUAAAAAUAUUUUGUUGGGGCGACAUUACAGCAAUAUAAAUUAACCUGUGAUAUAUUUGAAGAUUAAACGAAAAAUUUUAAUUAAGAUUAAACUACCCUAGGGAUAACAGCAUAAUUUUUAAAAAGUUUGUGACCUCGAUGUUGGACUAGGAAAUUUUAAUAUUAACAGUAUUAAAAUAAUGUUCUGUUCGAACAAUUUUUCCUACAU